RNAcentral lists this ribosomal RNA (443 nucleotides) under uncultured bacterium. RNAcentral's name for it is "partial 16S ribosomal RNA". It matches the Rfam family "Bacterial small subunit ribosomal RNA", at positions 338 to 795 of the family's 1533-position model. The record is from RNAcentral.
CCUACGGGAGGCAGCAGUGGGGAAUAUUGGGCAAUGGGCGCAAGCCUGACCCAGCAACGCCGCGUGAAGGAAGAAGGCUUUCGGGUUGUAAACUUCUUUUGUCAGGGACGAAGCAAGUGACGGUACCUGACGAAUAAGCCACGGCUAACUACGUGCCAGCAGCCGCGGUAAUACGUAGGUGGCAAGCGUUAUCCGGAUUUACUGGGUGUAAAGGGCGUGUAGGCGGGACUGCAAGUCAGAUGUGAAAACCACGGGCUCAACCUGUGGCCUGCAUUUGAAACUGUAGUUCUUGAGUACUGGAGAGGCAGACGGAAUUCCUAGUGUAGCGGUGGAAUGCGUAGAUAUAUGGAAGAACACCAGUGGCGAAGGCGGCUCUCUGGUCUGCAACUGACGCUGAGGCUCGAAAGCAUGGGUAGCGAACAGGAUUAGAUACCCCAGUAGUC